GGGGAUUUAGCUCAGUGAUAGAGCGCUUGCCUAGCAAGCACAAGGCACUGGGUUCGGUCCCCAGCUCCG
This 69-nucleotide transfer RNA is filed under the name Rattus norvegicus (Norway rat). It matches the Rfam family "tRNA". Rfam says of the family: Transfer RNA (tRNA) molecules are approximately 80 nucleotides in length. Their secondary structure includes four short double-helical elements and three loops (D, anti-codon, and T loops). Lineage: Eukaryota; Metazoa; Chordata; Mammalia; Rodentia; Muridae. The record is from Rfam by way of RNAcentral.